CCUACGGGAGGCAGCAGUGAGGAAUAUUGGUCAAUGGACGAGAGUCUGAACCAGCCAAGUAGCGUGAAGGAUGACUGCCCUAUGGGUUGUAAACUUCUUUUAUAUGGGAAUAAAACGUUCCACGUGUGGGAUUUUGUAUGUACCAUAUGAAUAAGGAUCGGCUAACUCCGUGCCAGCAGCUGCGGUAAUACGGAGGAUCCGAGCGUUAUCCGGAUUUAUUGGGUUUAAAGGGCGCGUAGGUGGAUUGUUAAGUCAGUUGUGAAAGUUUGCGGCUCAACCGUAAAAUUGCAGUUGAAACUGGCAGUCUUGAGUACAGUAGAGGGGGGCGGAAUUCGUGGUGUAGCGGUGAAAUGCUUAGAUAUCACGAAGAACUCCGAUUGCGAAGGCAGUUCACUGGACUGCAACUGACACUGAGGCUCGAAAGUGUGGGUAUCAAACAGGAUUAGAUACCCGAGUAGUC
RNAcentral lists this ribosomal RNA (460 nucleotides) under uncultured bacterium. RNAcentral's name for it is "partial 16S ribosomal RNA". It matches the Rfam family "Bacterial small subunit ribosomal RNA", at positions 338 to 795 of the family's 1533-position model. The record is from RNAcentral.